RNAcentral lists this ribosomal RNA (357 nucleotides) under Salmonella enterica subsp. enterica serovar Kiambu. RNAcentral's name for it is "bacterial LSU rRNA". It matches the Rfam family "Bacterial large subunit ribosomal RNA", at positions 457 to 816 of the family's 2925-position model. Lineage: Bacteria; Pseudomonadati; Pseudomonadota; Gammaproteobacteria; Enterobacterales; Enterobacteriaceae. The record is from RNAcentral.
CCUCCAAGGCUAAAUACUCCUGACUGACCGAUAGUGAACCAGUACCGUGAGGGAAAGGCGAAAAGAACCCCGGCGAGGGGAGUGAAAAAGAACCUGAAACCGUGUACGUACAAGCAGUGGGAGCACCCUUUUGGGUGUGACUGCGUACCUUUUGUAUAAUGGGUCAGCGACUUAUAUUCUGUAGCAAGGUUAACCGAAUAGGGGAGCCGGAGGGAAACCGAGUCUUAAUUGGGCGUUAAGUUGCAGGGUAUAGACCCGAAACCCGGUGAUCUAGCCAUGGGCAGGUUGAAGGUUGGGUAACACUAACUGGAGGACCGAACCGACUAAUGUUGAAAAAUUAGCGGAUGACCUGUGGCU